Molecule: ribosomal RNA, 492 nt
Filed under: uncultured bacterium
Lineage: Bacteria
Description: partial 16S ribosomal RNA
Rfam family: Bacterial small subunit ribosomal RNA
Source: RNAcentral
AGUGAACGCUGGCGGUAGGCCUAACACAUGCAAGUCGAACGGCAGCACAGUAAGAGCUUGCUCUUACGGGUGGCGAGUGGCGGACGGGUGAGGAAUACAUCGGAAUCUACUUUUUCGUGGGGGAUAACGUAGGGAAACUUACGCUAAUACCGCAUACGACCUACGGGUGAAAGCAGGGGAUCUUCGGACCUUGCGCGAUUGAAUGAGCCGAUGUCGGAUUAGCUAGUUGGCGGGGUAAAGGCCCACCAAGGCGACGAUCCGUAGCUGGUCUGAGAGGAUGUUCAGCCACACUGGAACUGAGACACGGUCCAGACUCCUACGGGAGGCAGCAGUGGGGAAUAUUGGACAAUGGGCGCAAGCCUGAUCCAGCCAUACCGCGUGGGUGAAGAAGGCCUUCGGGUUGUAAAGCCCUUUUGUCGGGAAAGAAAAGCAGCAGGUUAAUACCCCGCUGUUCUGACGGUACCCAAAGAAUAAGCACCGGCUAACUUCGUG